RNAcentral lists this ribosomal RNA (266 nucleotides) under uncultured bacterium. RNAcentral describes it as "partial 16S ribosomal RNA". It matches the Rfam family "Bacterial small subunit ribosomal RNA", at positions 793 to 1055 of the family's 1533-position model. The record is from RNAcentral.
GUCCACGCUGUAAACGAUGGGUACUAGGUUUGGUGGGUCUUGACCCCCGCCGAGCCGGAGCUAACGCACUAAGUACCCCGCCUGGGAAGUACGGUCGCAAGAUUAAAACUCAAAGGAAUUGACGGGGACCCGCACAAGCGGUGGAUGAUGUGGUUUAAUUCGAUGCAACGCGAAAAACCUUACCUACCCUUGACAUGUCAAGAAUCUUGCAGAGAUGUGAGAGUGCUCGAAAGAGAACUUGAACACAGGUGCUGCAUGGCCGUCGU